Molecule: ribosomal RNA, 580 nt
Filed under: uncultured Loktanella sp.
Lineage: Bacteria; Pseudomonadati; Pseudomonadota; Alphaproteobacteria; Rhodobacterales; Roseobacteraceae
Description: bacterial SSU rRNA
Rfam family: Bacterial small subunit ribosomal RNA
Source: RNAcentral
AACGAACGCUGGCGGCAGGCCUAACACAUGCAAGUCGAGCGCACCUUCGGGUGAGCGGCGGACGGGUUAGUAACGCGUGGGAACAUACCCUUUUCUACGGAAUAGCCUCGGGAAACUGAGAGUAAUACCGUAUACGCCCUUUGGGGGAAAGAUUUAUCGGUGAAGGAUUGGCCCGCGUUUGAUUAGAUAGUUGGUGGGGUAAUGGCCUACCAAGUCUACGAUCAAUAGCUGGUUUGAGAGGAUGAUCAGCAACACUGGGACUGAGACACGGCCCAGACUCCUACGGGAGGCAGCAGUGGGGAAUCUUAGACAAUGGGCGCAAGCCUGAUCUAGCCAUGCCGCGUGAGUGACGAAGGCCUUAGGGUCGUAAAGCUCUUUCGCCAGAGAUGAUAAUGACAGUAUCUGGUAAAGAAACCCCGGCUAACUCCGUGCCAGCAGCCGCGGUAAUACGGAGGGGGUUAGCGUUGUUCGGAAUUACUGGGCGUAAAGCGUACGUAGGCGGAUUAGAAAGUAGGGGGUGAAAUCCCAGGGCUCAACCCUGGAACUGCCUCCUAAACUACUAGUCUAGAGUUCGAGAGAG